GUUUCCUUCACCUUCAGAACAUGAAUCCAUGUGGAAAUGAACUGUGUAUGGUUUGAGGUAGGGAUUCAUAAAUGAAACCCAUGGAUAAGUAUAAUAUUGUUAGAUGAGGAGAGA
Cebus imitator (Panamanian white-faced capuchin) is the source of this 114-nucleotide long non-coding RNA. RefSeq lists it as uncharacterized. Lineage: Eukaryota; Metazoa; Chordata; Mammalia; Primates; Cebidae. The record is from RefSeq and is a predicted model, not a curated record. The transcript is spliced from 2 exons.